This 406-nucleotide ribosomal RNA is filed under the name uncultured bacterium. RNAcentral's name for it is "partial 16S ribosomal RNA". It matches the Rfam family "Bacterial small subunit ribosomal RNA", at positions 30 to 526 of the family's 1533-position model. The record is from RNAcentral.
AUUGAACGCUGGCGGCAGGCUUAACACAUGCAAGUCGAGCGAGCGGCGGACGGGUGAGUAAUGUCUGGGAAACUGCCUGAUGGAGGGGGAUAACUACUGGAAACGGUAGCUAAUACCGCAUAACAUCAGAUGUCCACAGGUGGGAUUAGCUAGUAGGUGGGGUAAUGAAUCACCUAGGCGACGCUCCCUAGCUGGUCGGAGAGGAUGACCAGCCACACUAGAACUGAGACACGGUCCAGAGUACUACGAGAGGCAGCAGUGGGGAAUAUUGCACAAAGGGCGCAAGCCUGAUGCAGCCAGGCCGCGUGUGGGAAGAAGGCCUUCGGGUUUUAAAGCACUUUAAGCGAGGAGGCGUUACUCGCAGAAGAAGCACCGGCUAACUCCGUGCCAGCAGCCGCGGUAAUUC